RNAcentral lists this ribosomal RNA (253 nucleotides) under uncultured bacterium. Its description in RNAcentral is "partial 16S ribosomal RNA". It matches the Rfam family "Bacterial small subunit ribosomal RNA", at positions 524 to 776 of the family's 1533-position model. The record is from RNAcentral.
UACAGAGGGUGCAAGCGUUAAUCGGAAUUACUGGGCGUAAAGCGUGCGUAGACGGUUAUGUAAGUCAGAUGUGAAAGCCCCGGGCUCAACCUGGGAAUUGCAUUUGAGACUGCAUAGCUAGGGUGCGGAAGAGGGAAGCGGAAUUUCCGGUGUAGCGGUGAAAUGCGUAGAUAUCGGAAGGAACACCAGUGGCGAAAGCGGCUUCCUGGUCCAUUACUGACGCUGAGGUGCGAAAGCGUGGGGAGCAAACAGG